This 399-nucleotide unclassified non-coding RNA is filed under the name Pseudidiomarina piscicola. RNAcentral describes it as "Idiomarina sp. CECT 9734 cspA". Lineage: Bacteria; Pseudomonadati; Pseudomonadota; Gammaproteobacteria; Alteromonadales; Idiomarinaceae. The record is from RNAcentral.
AUUUGAAAGUUAAACCUCUCUACGUCGCAUUAUUAGCAGUAUAUCUUCGUCCUGUAGUUUUAAAUCUCCCGUUUUUACCCGCAUGACCCCGUUCAAGGCACAAGCUUUGGCGGAAACUUUUUAAAAUUUUUCAGGAUUAAUAUUAUGUCUAAUACAGUAACUGGCGUUGUAAAGUGGUUUAACGAAGCAAAAGGUUUUGGUUUUAUCGAGCAGCAAGGUGGCGCAGACGUGUUUGCUCACUUUAGCGCAAUCGCUAGCACCGGUUUCAAAACCUUAGCCGAAGGCCAAAACGUAUCGUUCACGAUUACGCAAGGUCCUAAAGGCCCACAAGCAGAAAACAUCGUCGCGCUUUAAUUAGCCCGAACGACCAAAAAGGGACCUAUCAGGUCCCUUUUUUUG